This 958-nucleotide ribosomal RNA is filed under the name Diplodia corticola. RNAcentral's name for it is "eukaryotic LSU rRNA". It matches the Rfam family "Eukaryotic large subunit ribosomal RNA", at positions 1 to 978 of the family's 3401-position model. The record is from RNAcentral. Lineage: Eukaryota; Fungi; Ascomycota; Dothideomycetes; Botryosphaeriales; Botryosphaeriaceae.
GGUUGACCUCGGAUCAGGUAGGGAUACCCGCUGAACUUAAGCAUAUCAAUAAGCGGAGGAAAAGAAACCAACAGGGAUUGCCUUAGUAACGGCGAGUGAAGCGGCAACAGCUCAAAUUUGAAAGCUGGCCCUUUCAGGGUCCGCGUUGUAAUUUGUAGAGGAUGAUUCGGCGAGGGCUCCCGCCUAAGUCCCCUGGAACGGGGCGUCAUAGAGGGUGAGAAUCCCGUAUGCGGUGGGCUGCCUUAGCCAUGUGAAUCUCCUUCGACGAGUCGAGUUGUUUGGGAAUGCAGCUCUAAAUGGGAGGUAAAUUUCUUCUAAAGCUAAAUACCGGCCAGAGACCGAUAGCGCACAAGUAGAGUGAUCGAAAGAUGAAAAGCACUUUGGAAAGAGAGUUAAAAAGUACGUGAAAUUGUUGAAAGGGAAGCGCUUGCAACCAGACUUGUCCGCAGUUGCUCAGCCGGUCUCCUGACCGGCGUACUCUUCUGCGGCCAGGCCAGCAUCAGUUCGGGCGGUCGGAUAAAGACCUCGGGAAUGUGGCUCCUCUCGGGGAGUGUUAUAGCCCGGGGUGGAAUGCGGCCAGCCUGGACUGAGGAUCUCGCUUCGGCAAGGAUGCUGGCGUAAUGGUUGUAAGCGGCCCGUCUUGAAACACGGACCAAGGAGUCUAACAUCUAUGCGAGUGUUUGGGUGUCAAACCCAUACGCGUAAUGAAAGUGAACGGAGGUGGGAACCCGCAAGGGCGCACCAUCGGCCGAUCCUGAUGUCUUCGGAUGGAUUUGAGCAAGAGCAUAGCUGUUGGGACCCGAAAGAUGGUGAACUAUGCCUGAAUAGGGUGAAGCCAGAGGAAACUCUGGUGGAGGCUCGCAGCGGUUCUGACGUGCAAAUCGAUCGUCAAAUUUGGGUAUAGGGGCGAAAGACUAAUCGAACCAGUAGCUGGUUCCUGCCGAAGUUUCCCUCAGGA